ACGCUCGACACCUACAGGAGGCAGCAGUAGGGAAUCUUCCACAAUGGACGCAAGUCUGAUGGAGCAACGCCGCGUGAGUGAAGAAGGUCUUCGGAUCGUAAAACUCUGUUGUUAGAGAAGAACACGAGUGAGAGUAACUGUUCAUUCGAUGACGGUAUCUAACCAGCAAGUCACGGCUAACUACGUGCCGGCAGCCGCGGUAAUCUGAGCGGGCUGGCAAGGC
Molecule: ribosomal RNA, 223 nt
Filed under: uncultured bacterium
Lineage: Bacteria
Description: partial 16S ribosomal RNA
Rfam family: Bacterial small subunit ribosomal RNA
Source: RNAcentral